CCUACGGGAGGCAGCAGUGAGGAAUAUUGGACAAUGGGCGCAAGCCUGAUCCAGCCAUGCCGCGUGCAGGAAGACGGUCCUAUGGAUUGUAAACUGCUUUUAUACAGGAAGAAAUACUUUCUCGUGAGAGAGCUUGACGGUACUGUAAGAAUAAGGAUCGGCUAACUCCGUGCCAGCAGCCGCGGUAAUACGGAGGGUCCAAGCGUUAUCCGGAAUCAUUGGGUUUAAAGGGUCCGUAGGCGGUUUAAUAAGUCAGUGGUGAAAUCUGGUCGCUCAACGAUCAAACGGCCAUUGAUACUGUUAGACUUGAAUUAUUGUGAAGUAACUAGAAUAUGUAGUGUAGCGGUGAAAUGCUUAGAUAUUACAUGGAAUACCAAUUGCGAAGGCAGGUUACUAACAAUGGAUUGACGCUGAUGGACGAAAGCGUGGGGAGCGAACAGGAUUAGAUACCCUGGUAGUCCACGCCGUAAACGAUGGAUACUAGCUGUUGGGCGCAAGUUCAGUGGCUAAGCGAAAGUGAUAAGUAUCCCACCNCGGAGGUACGUUCGCGAGAAGUAGAACGACAAUAGAAGUUAGUACGGCGUGAGACGUUAGCCGACGGACGACGACGAGGGGAGGUUAGGG
This 624-nucleotide ribosomal RNA is filed under the name uncultured bacterium. RNAcentral's name for it is "bacterial SSU rRNA". The stretch from base 1 to 533 matches the Rfam family "Bacterial small subunit ribosomal RNA", at positions 338 to 873 of the family's 1533-position model. The record is from RNAcentral.